Molecule: ribosomal RNA, 255 nt
Filed under: uncultured bacterium
Lineage: Bacteria
Description: partial 16S ribosomal RNA
Rfam family: Bacterial small subunit ribosomal RNA
Source: RNAcentral
UACGAAGGGGGCUAGCGUUGUUCGGAUUUACUGGGCGUAAAGCGCACGUAGGCGGAUCUUUAAGUCAGAGGUGAAAUCCCAAAGGCUCAACCUUGGAACUGCCUUUGAUACUGGGGAUCUUGAGUCCGGGAGAGGUGAGUGGAACUGCGAGUGUAGAGGUGAAAAUUCGUAGAUAUUCGCAAGAACACCAGUGGCGAAGGCGGCUCACUGGCCCGGUACUGACGCUGAGGUGCGAAAGCGUGGGGAGCAACAGGG